RNAcentral lists this transfer RNA (74 nucleotides) under freshwater metagenome. Its description in RNAcentral is "tRNA-Thr". It matches the Rfam family "tRNA". From Rfam's summary of the family: Transfer RNA (tRNA) molecules are approximately 80 nucleotides in length. The record is from RNAcentral.
GCCUCCGUAGCUCAGCUGGUAGAGCACUUCACUCGUAAUGAAGGGGUCAGCGGUUCGAGUCCGCUCGGAGGCUC